GAGUUUGAUCAUGGCUCAGAUUGAACGCUGGCGGCAGGCCUAACACAUGCAAGUCGAGCGGAUGACGGGAGCUUGCUCCUUGAUUCAGCGGCGGACGGGUGAGUAAUGCCUGGGAAUCUGCCUGGUAGUGGGGGACAACGUUUCGAAAGGAACGCUAAUACCGCAUACGUCCUACGGGAGAAAGCAGGGGACCUUCGGGCCUUGCGCUAUCAGAUGAGCCUAGGUCGGAUUAGCUAGUUGGUGGGUAAUGGCUCACCAAGGCGACGAUCCGUAACUGGUCUGAGAGGAUGAUCAGUCACACUGGAACUGAGACACGGUCCAGACUCCUACGGGAGGCAGCAGUGGGGAAUAUUGGACAAUGGGCGAAAGCCUGAUCCAGCCAUGCCGCGUGUGUGAAGAAGGUACUUCGGAUUGUAAAGCACUUUAAGUUGGAGAAGGGCAGUAAGUAUACCUUGCUGUUUGACGUUACCGACAGAAUAAGCACCGGCUAAC
This 492-nucleotide ribosomal RNA is filed under the name bacterium enrichment culture clone ALO1_GLFRUDD03GDHAH. RNAcentral's name for it is "bacterial SSU rRNA". It matches the Rfam family "Bacterial small subunit ribosomal RNA", at positions 9 to 501 of the family's 1533-position model. The record is from RNAcentral.